AAGAAUUUAAGUUAAAAAAACUAUUGACCUUCAAAGUCAAAACUAGGGUAUAAACCUAAUUCUUA
RNAcentral lists this transfer RNA (65 nucleotides) under Anthonomus rectirostris. RNAcentral describes it as "tRNA-Trp". Lineage: Eukaryota; Metazoa; Arthropoda; Insecta; Coleoptera; Curculionidae. The record is from RNAcentral.